RNAcentral lists this long non-coding RNA (1757 nucleotides) under Zostera marina. Its description in RNAcentral is "long non-coding RNA (ZMAR_LNC000853)". The record is from RNAcentral. Lineage: Eukaryota; Viridiplantae; Streptophyta; Magnoliopsida; Alismatales; Zosteraceae.
ACCAAAGGAGUCGAAAGUUUCAAAGACCAAAAAGGAGGAAGGUAGUUCUAAAAAGACCAGGGAUCCGCAAAGUAGUUCUAAAAAAAUUAAAGAUCUGCCUGAUGAAGAAGUAGAUGUCCCCAAUUAUAAAUCUGAAUCUGACAACGAUGAUGUAACAAUUGAUUUAAAUAAAAAAAUAUCAUGAAAUUCCCAUCGAUAAAAAAAAUCAUAAUUAAAUUAUGUUUGCAGGAUUAUGAUAGCGGUGACGAUGAUGAUUAUGACGAUAGUGAAGAAUAUCAAGAAUCUCUUCGUGACACGGCACCUGAAUACAAGCGUAUAAUAGCUAUUACAGCUGGGAAACCGAAGGGUGGAUUAAAAGAAGCCUUAAGCAUUGAUCCUAAGAACGUUAGGCGACUUAGUUUAAGUGAAAAAGAGCUUCUAAAUGCUUCUGAACAUCAUGGCACUGAUAUUGUAAGGUAUUAUCACGAUUAUUGUCUCCAUUUUUUCCUUAGUGAUAUGACUAUUAAAUCUUUAUUUUUUUCAUGAUUUUCUUCUUCAUUCUUGAUUUUAUAUUGAUUUUUUUAUAUUCAAAAACAUUUGUAGAUUUACUCAGAAGAAUAUUAUGAGAGUAUAUCCGAAAGGUACUCGUAUCGAUUCAUCUAAUUACAAUCCAUUCAUUGGCUGGAUGCAUGGCGCGCAAAUGGUAGCAUUCAAUAUGCAGGUUAGAACAUUGAAUCUAUUUGUCCUUUAAUUUUUCUACUUUUCAAUCAACUAAUUGACUAUUUUGGGUUAACCAGGGAUAUGGAAAACAUCUUUGGAUCAUGCAAGGGUUCUUUAGGGCAAAUGGCGGUUGCGGGUAUGUCAAAAAACCAAACUUUCUGAUGGAUGUCGACUCAGAUAACAGAGUAUUUGACCCACAGUCAAUUCAAACUACAAAGAAAACACUCCUAAAGGUGAUACAUAUCAAAUGGUGGUAUUAUCUUCUUUAUUUUUAUUAUUUACUUAUACUAAAUGUGAAUAUUUAUUAGGUCAAAGUGUAUAUGGGUGAUGGAUGGCAAUUCGAUUUUUCAAAGAAGCAUUUUGAUAAAUUUUCUCCACCAGAUUUCUAUACAAGGGUAUGAUCCAUAAUGUUGAAUUUUGUUUUUUAUACAAGAGUGAUGAUUGAUGUUGUUUUUGCUCUAUUUUUCACUGUCUGGUUGACAUUUUUUAUGGGCAAUUGUCCUCUGGCAUAAAAUAUAACAUAUUCCUUCUAGAGAUAUUCAGAUACCUAUAUAGUAGGUGGUAUAUGUCAUCUAAUAUGUCAAUCACUAAUUUUACACCUAUUUCAUUCUCUGGUCGAUUUUAUGUGAGCAAAUUUGAGUGAGGGUUAGCACAAUGGGUCUCAUGGGAUGUUAAGGUUCAUAAGUCACGCAUAUGGUCAGAAGUUUGAGUCAUUACGUGUGAUUAUCCACUUUCAAAUACCUAGUAAUAAGUGAGUAAUUUAAAAAAAAUGUAGUCAUGGUGUUAUAAGGGAUGACUUUUUUGUAUAUUGAUUUUUACCUUUUACAAAAUACAUGAUUCUUUUUGUAGGUUGGAAUAGCAGGAGUUCCUGAAGAUGAAAUUAUGAAGAAAACAACGACAAAGAAGGAUAGUUGGAAGCCGAUUUGGAACGAAGAAUUUAAUUUUUCAUUAGUUGUACCUGAACUUGCAGUAGUCCGUAUUGAAGUCCGUGAUUAUGAUGUGACUAGUAAAGAUGAUUUCGCUGGGCAAACAUGCUUACCGUUUUCGUUAUUACGACC